Molecule: long non-coding RNA, 2085 nt
Filed under: Mytilus galloprovincialis (Mediterranean mussel)
Lineage: Eukaryota; Metazoa; Mollusca; Bivalvia; Mytilida; Mytilidae
Source: RNAcentral
CAAGGAGUUGUCAGGCAUACCUUGAUGAGAUAACACCCCAAUGACAAAAAACUCUUAAAAUCAUCUACAACGCAACACACUGUCUCUCAUCAAUAGUUUAGUAUCUAUACAAUAUACAAAGAUAUAAUUUGCCAUGAAUACAGAACAGUUGUGAAUAAAAUUAAAUAGAAACAUCAUAGAUCUGUCAUUAACACAAAAUUCUCAUAACAAUAAAAACUACUGUUUGCCUGCAUUGCUGAAAAAUAAACAAACACAGAAAAAACAGCGAAAUAACUGGUACUUCUAACUUAAAAUUAUCUUAUUGUUGUUUAUCCAAAGAAAAAAAAAAGAACAGAAGCAGUGAUUAAAGGAAACAAAAGAACAGAAGCAGUGAUUAAAUGAAACAAAAGAAAACAAAGGAAAAAGAACAGAAGCAGUGAUUAAAGGAAACAAAAGAACAGAAGCAGUGAUUAAAGGAAACAAAAGAACAGAAGCAGUGAUUAAAGGAAACAAAAGAACAGAAGCAGUGAUUAAAGGAAACAAAAGAACAGAAAGCAGUGAUUAAAGAAACAAAAAGAACAGAAGCAGUGAUUAAAGGAAACAAAAAGAACAGAAGCAGUGAUUAAAGAAACAAAAAAGCAGAAGCAUGAUUAAAGGAAACAAAAGAACAGAAGCAGUGAUUAAACGGAAACAAAAGAACAGAAGCAGUGAUUAAAGGAAACAAAAGAACAGAAGCAGUGAUUAAAUGAAACAAAUACAAUUACAAACAUCACCAAUAAAUAAACAGCCAGAGAGAGUGAUUUGGGGGAAAAGUUUUGAACUUGUUAACUUGGUGUUUUGUUUUUAAUGUUAGAAGUGUAAUUAGACCCUUCUAACUAAUUUGGUUUGUACUCUGUUUGUCUGUCCAUCUAUCAGUUUUCCACACUUUUUUUCUUCGUGCUUGAAGAUAUUUGAUUUGAUAUUUGUUGUUUUGUUUUAUCAUAAGCUACAGAUCAAGUUCGUAUAUUGUUCCUGUUAGAUGAUUUAAUGCAGACUCACAAGCACAACAUUUGAUGUGGUUAAACCAGUUUAUUAUACUUGAGCACACUUGCAAGCACAAUAUUUGAUGUGUUAAACCAGUUUUACAUGAGCACACUUGCAAGCACAAUAUUUGAUGUGUUAAACCAGUUUUACAUGAUCACAUUCACAAACAACAUUUGAUUUGGUUAAACAAGAUUUACUUGACACAAAUAUCACAAGCACAACAUUUAAUGAGGUUAAACCAGUUUUACUUGAGCACACUUACAAGCACAACAUUUGAUGUGGUUAAACCAGUUUUAUUUGAGCACACUCACAAACCCAACAUUUGAUGUGGUUAAACCAGUUUUAUUUGAGCACAAGCAUAACAUUUCAUGGUGUUAAACCGGCUAUACUUCAGUAAUCUCACAGGUGUAACAUUUGAUGCGAAUAAACCAGUUUUACUUUAGCACAAUCACAAGCCCAACACUUCCUGUGGUUAAAACAGUUAUCUUUGAGCACACUCACAAGCCCAACAUUUGAUAUGGUUAAACCAGUUUCACUUCAGCACAUUCACAAGCACAACAUUUCAUGUGGUUAAAACAGUUUUACUUGAGCACACUCACAAACACAACAUUUCAUGUGGUUAUCCAGUUUUACUUCAGCACAACAUUUGAUGUGGUUAAACACGUUUUACUUGAGACACUCACAAGCCCAAUAUUUGAUGAGGAUAAACCAGUUUUACUUGAGCACAUCACACAAGCACACCAUUUGAUGUGGUUAAACUAGUUUCAUUUGAGCAAUCUCACAAGCACAACAUUUGAUGUGGUUAAACCAGUUUUACUUGAGCACCCCACAAGCACAACAUUUGAUGAGGAUAAACCAGUUUUACUUCAGCACAUCGCACAAACACAACCUUUGAUGUGGAUAAACUAGUUUUACUUGAGCACACUCACAAGCACAACAUUUGAUGUGGUUAAACCAGUUUUACUUAAGCACAUUCACAAGCACAAAAUUUGAUGUUUAUAAACUAGUUUAACUUGAGCACACUCACAAACACAACAUUUGAUGUGGUUAAACCAGUUUUACUUGAGCACAUUGUCAAGCACA